CCCUACGGGGCGCAGCAGUAGGGAAUCUUCCACAAUGGGCGAAAGCCUGAUGGAGCAACGCCGCGUGGGUGAAGAAGGUCUUCGGAUCGUAAAACCCUGUUGUUAGAGAAGAAAGUGUGUGAGAGUAACUGUUCACGUUUCGACGGUAUCUAACCAGAAAGCCACGGCUAACUACGUGCCAGCAGCCGCGGUAAUACGUAGGUGGCAAGCGUUAUCCGGAUUUAUUGGGCGUAAAGGGAACGCAGGCGGUCUUUUCAGUCUGAUGUGAAAGCCUUCGGCUUAACCGGAGUAGUGCAUUGGAAACU
Molecule: ribosomal RNA, 305 nt
Filed under: uncultured bacterium
Lineage: Bacteria
Description: bacterial SSU rRNA
Rfam family: Bacterial small subunit ribosomal RNA
Source: RNAcentral